AUAAAGGGACACAGGCCUGACAGAGGGCACAGGAUUCACCCGAACUCCCCAAUCCACUAACGGGAAUCUCAGGCAUCCGCAGGAAGAUCCCCUGCUCAGAAACCAAGCCAUAUCUGGGGCCACCCUCUGCUUCCACGACACGCCAUGUACAUAGACCAUGUAGCUGGCAUGCUGAAGCACUCUGGGUGUCCACUGCAUGUCCCUCUGAGCCUCAGUUUCACCACCUGCACAGGGGUAAGUUGCCCUGACCACUGGCCCCCUGCAUCUUCCAUCCAUGGCAGCCCUAGGUAGAGCCCCGUGGGGCCGGAGCAGGAGGACAGGACCGUUGCCCUGAGGGAGCCUGGCCUAGAUGCUUAAUUCGAGCUGUCUGUCUUCUCCCAAAGUUCACCAGCUGCUAGUGCCCCAGUCACAUCCCCACCUUGGCCUGGCCCGAGGCUGGCAGGUCCCUAAAGGCGCCCCACACACACACACUGGGUGAGGGCCAGCUCUGCUCCAGCCAGCGGUCUGGAGGAGGGGACUCUUCCUGCUGGAGGAUGAAGGGCAGGCGGCCAGGACUGUGGAGCAGCUAGCGGGCACAGCAGCAGUAAACCCUAGCCUCUCAACCCCCUGGGCCCAGCUACCUGCCUGGCCACUGGCCCCUGUGUUUCACAGACCUCUGCUCCGACCCCGAGGACAGGCUCCAGGCAGUCGGUGGCUCAGCAGGUAGGUCACCAGGCACCUCCUGCUGAGAGGAAUCUGGGAAGCAGGUUCAGGUUCAGCACUGAGGCUGCCAGGCCUGGCCAGCUGGAUGUGGCCCCACCUCCCUAGUGUCCCCGUCAGCCCUGCCAGUCCAGCCACAGCCCUGGGAACACAUGCCCUCUCAGACCUCAGCCUGAGAAAACCAUCUCCUCCUGAGAGAAAGAAAACCCAGGGCAGGCUGAGAGGGCCUUGGGUGGGGAGGGGCAGUGGGCACGGUAGGGUGGUGGCCUGAGGUCCUCAGUCCACAGCCCUCAGGGGGCCAGAGCAGCACCUGGCUAUUGGAACAUCUUCCCACAGGCAUGUCAACCCUCAGUGGUGCCCUCUGGGCUGGAGACUGGAGCCCCUUCCAGCCUGGGAGUGCUGGAUAGAGCACCUGGAGCCUGAGGGGCGGCCUCGGGGUCACUGGCUGCCAAUAGUGGUGGCCCAGCUGGGCUGCUCCACUCCCCUCCAGGUUUGGAGGAGAGCUCCGUCCUGCCUGACCUCUGCCCUGCACCUCAGUCAAGAAUAGGAAGCACAAUGAUCACACCAAACUCCAGGCGCCCUGCAUUUCCUGUGCUGCCCCCACCACCUGUGCAGCAGGGGCUCUUGCUGCCCCAUCUGCAGGACCAGCUGUUGCCAGGCCAUCGACAGGGGCUGCCCACUGCCCACACCACCACUGCCCACACCAGGCUGCUGGGCACGUUCCAGCUGCAGAGCAACAUGGCGCCGCUCCUGCUC
Equus caballus (horse) is the source of this 1455-nucleotide non-coding RNA. The record is from RefSeq and is a predicted model, not a curated record. NCBI's taxonomy places the organism in Eukaryota, Metazoa, Chordata, Mammalia, Perissodactyla, Equidae.